AUGAGGACUGCCGUCAGGCGCGCCAGCGUAACGGCGCUCGUCACCGCCUGCGUCACCGUCGUCGCCUACGCCGUGGCCACAGCGGCCCAGUACGCAAUCGGCCGCCACCACCUCUGCAGCCAGGCUUUCUUCCUCCUGCGCUGCGUCAGGGUGACUGCCGCGGCGGCCGACGAGUGGAGGGCCCUCUGGCUCGCCAUGCUCUGCUGCGCGGUGCUCGAGGCGGCCGUGGCGGCGCUGGCGCUGCGGCUCCCAUGCCGCCGCCUCGCCCUCGCCUGCCUCCAGCUCGCGGUCACCAUGGUCCGCCACUGCAUGUGCGCCCGCGCCGGCCUCCUCCUCCUCGCCGCCGACCCAGGAUACCUCUUCGGCAGGAUCUGCGUCGGGUUCGCCUUCUGCUUCGCAGCGAACGACGUCGCCAACUUCGUGGACUUUCUCCGUGGAGGUGACAAGUGA
This 450-nucleotide ribosomal RNA is filed under the name Triticum aestivum (bread wheat). RNAcentral describes it as "partial small subunit ribosomal RNA". The record is from RNAcentral. Lineage: Eukaryota; Viridiplantae; Streptophyta; Magnoliopsida; Poales; Poaceae.